AUCGCAGGCUGCAACUCGCCUGCGUGAAGUCGGAAUUGCUAGUAAUCGCGGAUCAGCAUGCCGCGGUGAAUACGUUCCCGGGCCUUGUACACACCGCCCGUCACACCAUGAGAGCUGGGAACACCCGAAGCCCGUAGCCUAACCUGCAAAGGAGGGCGCGGUCGAAGGUGGGCUUAGUAAUUGGGGUGAAGUCGUAACAAGGUACC
This 206-nucleotide ribosomal RNA is filed under the name uncultured bacterium. Its description in RNAcentral is "partial 16S ribosomal RNA". It matches the Rfam family "Bacterial small subunit ribosomal RNA", at positions 1297 to 1500 of the family's 1533-position model. The record is from RNAcentral.